GGAUCGUCCCCGCGUCCGGGCAGGUCUUCCCCCUGCCGGCUGAGCCGCCACGGACACUGCACCUUUGUGGCGCCGCGAGAACCUCCCAAACUUCCGUGGAACUGUCCGUCUGCCUCGCUGCCUCCUCAGCGGGGAGAUGGCAGCACUGCGCCAGACCACGGUCAGAAACUGCAAAAGAAUCCUGGAAAGAAAUUCACAAACUUGUGGAGGAACUGAUGAAGAGGUUCACAAACCCAAACCUGAAGAUCUCCAUAGUCACCUACUCUUCACAGAGCUACACCCAAAGGAAACUCACCACAGACAGAAAGAAAAUACAAGCUACUCUUAACGAACUGAAGGGAAUAAAACCUACGGGAGAAAACUUCAUGGAAACAGGAUUUAUAGAGAAGACUACCUUGUGGGAUUUGAGGUACAAGUCCCAGAUCCAAGCAACAUGGAGAAAUUUGUUUGCCAAUAUACUAUGGAUGGCAAGAGGUUCCCCGAUAGAAAAGCGGUUACUGUAACGUCAAAAUCUAUAAUUUGCCCUGGACAUAUACUUGAUACCGAAGAACAGUAAGUACCCCAGGUCAGGGGUCAGAUGGGCAUUUUUGUGGGAUGAACGUGGGCUGCCAAGCUAUGGGCAGUCCGUGUCUAAUUCAGGGAGGCCUCCAGGCAUCCUCAACACCUGCACUUGUUGGUGGUCCCCAGAGGCACUCAAGGAUUCCCUCAUCCCUGGUUCUGCUGAGGAAGUUAGGAUUCAGGAGAUGAUGU
RNAcentral lists this long non-coding RNA (750 nucleotides) under Ursus maritimus (polar bear). Its description in RNAcentral is "lncRNA (ENSUMAG00000015448.1)". Lineage: Eukaryota; Metazoa; Chordata; Mammalia; Carnivora; Ursidae. The record is from RNAcentral.